UGGGGAAUAUUGCACAAUGGGCGCAAGCCUGAUGCAGCCAUGCCGCGUGUAUGAAGAAGGCCUUCGGGUUGUAAAGUACUUUCAGCGGGGAGGAAGGAGAUAAGGUUAAUAACCUUGUCGAUUGACGUUACCCGCAGAAGAAGCACCGGCUAACUCCGUGCCAGCAGCCGCGGUAAUACGGAGGGUGCAAGCGUUAAUCGGAAUUACUGGGCGUAAAGCGCACGCAGGCGGUCUGUCAAGUCGGAUGUGAAAUCCCCGGGCUCAACCUGGGAACUGCAUUCGAAACUGGCAGGCUAGAGUCUUGUAGAGGGGGGUAGAAUUCCAGGUGUAGCGGUGAAAUGCGUAGAGAUCUGGAGGAAUACCGGUGGCGAAGGCGGCCCCCUGGACAAAGACUGACGCUCAGGUGCGAAAGCGUGGGGAGCAAACA
This 427-nucleotide ribosomal RNA is filed under the name uncultured bacterium. Its description in RNAcentral is "partial 16S ribosomal RNA". It matches the Rfam family "Bacterial small subunit ribosomal RNA", at positions 355 to 774 of the family's 1533-position model. The record is from RNAcentral.